RNAcentral lists this ribosomal RNA (601 nucleotides) under Stereum gausapatum. RNAcentral's name for it is "eukaryotic LSU rRNA". The stretch from base 183 to 336 matches the Rfam family "5.8S ribosomal RNA". The record is from RNAcentral. Lineage: Eukaryota; Fungi; Basidiomycota; Agaricomycetes; Russulales; Stereaceae.
AUUAUGACUGGAGUUGUAGCUGGCCUUUAAAAACGGCAUGUGCACGCUCCUUUCACUAAUCCACACACACCUGUGCACCUUCGCGGGGGUCUCUUCGUUAACUCGAAGAGGCUCGCGUCCCUUUACACACCCUUUGUAUGUCUUAAGAAUGUCUACUCGAUGUAAUAAAACGCAUCUAAUACAACUUUCAACAACGGAUCUCUUGGCUCUCGCAUCGAUGAAGAACGCAGCGAAAUGCGAUAAGUAAUGUGAAUUGCAGAAUUCAGUGAAUCAUCGAAUCUUUGAACGCACCUUGCGCCCUUUGGUAUUCCGAAGGGCACACCUGUUUGAGUGUCGUGAAAUUCUCAACCCUCUUCACUUUUGUGAACGUAGUGGAUUGGACUUGGAGGCUUUGCCGGGCUUCACCGCUCGGCUCCUCUCAAAUGCAUUAGUGCGUCUUGUUGCGACGUGCGCCUCGGUGUGAUAAUUAUCUACGCUGUGGUGUGCUUGCUUCUGUGGAGACGCGCUUUCUAACCGUCCGAAAGGACAGCUUUCAUCGAACUUUGACCUCAAAUCAGGUGGGACUACCCGCUGAACUUAAGCAUAUCAAUAAGCGGGGGAA